AUGAGCAUUGUGACUGUUAUGCAUAUUCCUAAACUACUGAGGUGGAUGAAUAGGUUGAUCUGCAAUUUGAUGAUCCUAAUGGAGAUGAGCCUGAUUCUUCUUCAACACUGCUACAAAGAUAAGAACUCCAACGGUAAGCUCUUCACUCUUUUCCUCUUCUUUGCUUUUGAACUCCUUUAUCGUCACUUCAUUCUUUGCGCUUCUUGA
This is a non-coding RNA of Vicia faba (fava bean), 207 nucleotides long. The record is from the annotation of a GenBank genome assembly. NCBI's taxonomy places the organism in Eukaryota, Viridiplantae, Streptophyta, Magnoliopsida, Fabales, Fabaceae.